Molecule: ribosomal RNA, 1443 nt
Filed under: uncultured organism
Description: SSU rRNA
Rfam family: Bacterial small subunit ribosomal RNA
Source: RNAcentral
AUGAUGAACGCUAGCUACAGGCUUAACACAUGCAAGUCGAGGGGCAGCAUUUUAGUUUGCUUGCAAACUGAAGAUGGCGACCGGCGCACGGGUGAGUAACACGUAUCCAACCUGCCGAUAACUCCGGGAUAGCCUUUCGAAAGAAAGAUUAAUACCGGAUAGCAUACGAAUAUCGCAUGAUAUUUUUAUUAAAGAAUUUCGGUUAUCGGUGGGGAUGCGUUCCAUUAGUUUGUUGGCGGGGUAACGGCCCACCAAGACUACGAUGGAUAGGGGUUCUGAGAGGAAGGUCCCCCACAUUGGAACUGAGACACGGUCCAAACUCCUACGGGAGGCAGCAGUGAGGAAUAUUGGUCAAUGGGCGCGAGCCUGAACCAGCCAAGUAGCGUGAAGGAUGAAGGCUCUAUGGGUCGUAAACUUCUUUUAUAUGGGAAUAAAGUUUUCCACGUGUGGAAUUUUGUAUGUACCAUAUGAAUAAGGAUCGGCUAACUCCGUGCCAGCAGCCGCGGUAAUACGGAGGAUCCGAGCGUUAUCCGGAUUUAUUGGGUUUAAAGGGAGCGUAGGUGGAUUGUUAAGUCAGUUGUGAAAGUUUGCGGCUCAACCGUAAAAUUGCAGUUGAAACUGGCAGUCUUGAGUACAGUAGAGGUGGGCGGAAUUCGUGGUGUAGCGGUGAAAUGCUUAGAUAUCACGAAGAACUCCGAUUGCGAAGGCAGCUCACUAGACUGUCACUGACACUGAUGCUCGAAAGUGUGGGUAUCAAACAGGAUUAGAUACCCUGGUAGUCCACACAGUAAACGAUGAAUACUCGCUGUUUGCGAUAUACAGUAAGCGGCCAAGCGAAAGCAUUAAGUAUUCCACCUGGGGAGUACGCCGGCAACGGUGAAACUCAAAGGAAUUGACGGGGGCCCGCACAAGCGGAGGAACAUGUGGUUUAAUUCGAUGAUACGCGAGGAACCUUACCCGGGCUUAAAUUGCAACAGAAUAUAUUGGAAACAGUAUAGCCGUAAGGCUGUUGUGAAGGUGCUGCAUGGUUGUCGUCAGCUCGUGCCGUGAGGUGUCGGCUUAAGUGCCAUAACGAGCGCAACCCUUAUCUUUAGUUACUAACAGGUCAUGCUGAGGACUCUAGAGAGACUGCCGUCGUAAGAUGUGAGGAAGGUGGGGAUGACGUCAAAUCAGCACGGCCCUUACGUCCGGGGCUACACACGUGUUACAAUGGGGGGUACAGAAGGCGGCUACCUGGUGACAGGAUGCUAAUCCCAAAAACCUCUCUCAGUUCGGAUCGAAGUCUGCAACCCGACUUCGUGAAGCUGGAUUCGCUAGUAAUCGCGCAUCAGCCAUGGCGCGGUGAAUACGUUCCCGGGCCUUGUACACACCGCCCGUCAAGCCAUGAAAGCCGGGGGUACCUGAAGUACGUAACCGCAAGGAGCGUCCUAGGGUAAAACUGAU